CAGAAUUCCUGCACUCCUGCUUCACCUCAUUGCAAAAUGGAUGGACACAGUUACAGCAAUGAUGACUUCACUUUUGGAAACCUGAGACAAGUUGGGGACAGAUGGUCCAAGAGAAAAAUCUAUCUACAUGAUCACUAAGAGCCAACAUCAACUUGAAGGCUUAUAAUCAAAAAUACUAAUCAGAAAUGAUGCUAUGCCAGUAUAAAAGAGGUCUUGGGCAGAAUGUAAAUGGAGGCCCAGGAAGGACAUGAAUGGAGGCCUUGGCCAUGUUGUGAGAGAAGCCAUGGCUGCAUCCGUGUGAAAAAAGGCAAUGUAAAAGGUUUUGGCCAUUACAGUAGUUGUGUAUAGUGUGGGAGCACCUGACUGUAAUAAUAAACAUUGAGCUAGACUUUAAAGAUUAUUUACUGUAGCCUAUAUAUCAAUAAAGAUCCAGUCAAUUUGGUGGAGUUAGUUUCCUGCCCUAGACUACCUCAAAGACAAUUGAAGAAUACCAAGAGUAGAUAGAGAAAAAUGGGGAUCCAGAAAUGCAGCUAUUUCUCAAUCAGAUUCUAUACUGCAAAAGGCAACUGAUUGAUUUGAAAAAGAUCAAAUGGCUCCUAUACAGGAGAAACUCUAAACGCAUCCCUCUUUUCUUUUCUUUUUUUCAAAUAUCCUACUGUUGCCAACAUACUGUUCAAAAUGAAGCCUUUUUU
Long non-coding RNA from Ahaetulla prasina, 692 nucleotides. RefSeq lists it as uncharacterized. Lineage: Eukaryota; Metazoa; Chordata; Lepidosauria; Squamata; Colubridae. The transcript has 3 exons. The record is from RefSeq and is a predicted model, not a curated record.